AAUCAGAGUGCCUCCGCGGAGCGUCCUGGCGAUCUAAUUGCCCGCACACCCUUGUGAGCUGUGCGCCCUCCUCCGCCCCAUUAGGCAGGAGGACCACUAGUCCUUCCAUCAUAAAGGUGAACUGGAGGAUAUCUGCUACCACGGAAGGCCCAGGGCCCCAGAAGUGGUACUCCCAAACAGCAGCGAGGCGAAAGGAAAGAGAAAGGGCUUGUCCAGGAACGCCCACCGCACACGGUUUCCUCCAACCCCAGUGGGGACUUCCUUUUCACAGUACCUAGCGUCUCUGAGGCGGUGACACAAGACACUCAACAUGGCCGCUUCCAAACUGGUAAAGGCAGCAAUGGUCGCAGCUGCUGCUCCAGCCUCCGGGAGUGGAGUGGGCCUUGGCAGUGGGACUCGGCUCAGGCACUAGGUUCUGGCGCGGCUAGUAGAGGCGUUCUUGCUUCUGGGCGCGCGUGCCCUGUACCUGUGAACUGGCAGCGGUGGGCUCAGUGGCGAACGGAAGACCCCGGAGGUCAGUCCUCCCCGGGGCAUCAGAAGCCCCGAAGGUUCCGGUGCCCACUUGCAAAUAGUGAGAAGCUGCCCCCGGCCGUAGAGGUAGAACCGAAUGAAUUCAUCUUUACCUUCAAGGGCCCUCCGGGUGAGGGAGAAACAGCAAGGGGCUGCUCCUGAAUUUAAAAACUCAUUUCUGGCUGCCUCUGUAUGGAAUGGAUUUACUCCAGGGUGCAGGUUACCGACCUUCUUUGACAUUUUCCUUUGGCUUUCCAAAACAAUCUCGCUUUCCCCAAUGACUCCGCAUUUAUUCCUACUGUUAUACAAAAGGGAAAUAUUUGCAAUGUCAUGAUUGCGUUUAGCUAAGAAUCUAAGGAAGCCAAAUUUCACUAAUGAUUGGUACGUUAUGAUAUGAAUUGCUUUUGUGAUUUCCAAAGUCUAGAACUUAAUCGAUAAGAACAUUUUAAUGAGAAAAAGCUAAAUAACUUUAUAUAUGUGUAUACAAUAUAACUUUAUAUAUGUUUAAAGAGUAAAAUAGUAAUAGCAUUUUAAAAUAUUUUUUAUAUGUUGGAAGAAUCUUAAAUAUUUGUUUCACUGGAAAUAUAUAUACCCUUAUACACAAAGGAGCCAUUGGCACUCUGUUCAAGGUUAAGAUGCAUUUUUAGUAAGUAGUUAUAUUAGCCUAACUACUAUAUAUUACUGCCUACAACGUGUGAGGUAUGAUACUAACCCAUGAAAGACCAUUAAGAUCUUGUGAGAGUAAAACAUAUAUUUUGUUGUUGUUGUUGUUAUUGUUGUUUGGUACCAGUGAUAGCCGAGGCGGUUAGCCACUGAGCCACAUACAUCCCCUGCCUUUUUUUAUAUUUUAUUUAGAAACUGGGUCUCGCUGAAUUGCUUGGGCCCUCGCUAAGUUUCUGAGGCUGGCUUUGAACUCUGAGAUCCUUCUGCCUCACCCUCCAGGAUUAUAGGCUUGUGCCACAGCUCCUAGUUAUGGCUUAUUUUUAAUCAAAGAAAAUGCAUUACAAUAUGGAAGAGAACCCAUGGACUGUGAGAACUAGAGAAAUGUCACUUAAUAUUGAACACUCCACCACUGUUAGUUUGGGAAAGUCAUUUUAUCUCCCUGAUGUAACUACUAUCAUCCCUGUAGAAUAGGAGGAUUAAAAUAUUGGAUCUCUCAACAUCCAGCACUAAAAAUUGAUGAUCCAUAGGGCUGCCAGUGGGAGGUGUUAUCAAGAAGAUUCUCUGAAUUAGCUGUCACAUGUUAGUUUCAUAUGUAUGAAAUUCCCUGCUUUGUUAAUAUAAUUUUAGUCAUAGAAUAAUAGAUAAAAGAAAUGUACAUUAAAGUUUUCAGAUUUAUAAUCAUUAAAAAUAAAGAUAUUUCUGUAAAUAAAA
Ictidomys tridecemlineatus (thirteen-lined ground squirrel) is the source of this 1884-nucleotide long non-coding RNA. RefSeq lists it as uncharacterized. The record is from RefSeq and is a predicted model, not a curated record. NCBI's taxonomy places the organism in Eukaryota, Metazoa, Chordata, Mammalia, Rodentia, Sciuridae.